GCUUCCCCUGCAGCUGUGAGGAUCUAAUUUUAGCAGGCUUUUAGAUGACUGAGUUCUACAGUUCAGCAUGCAAACAUUGAGGAUGGCUGCUGCUAUUGCUUAUAUUCUAGGAGAACAAGAAAGGUGCAGGAAGAAAUUUCUGGCUGCAGACUGUGUUCCUGCGGAGUUGGCACCUAGCCGCAGUGAACUGGAUCGGGAGGAAACACAUUAUGAUCCGACACCAAAAAGCUUAAGAAUCCACCCAUCUUCUGAAAGCUGGGGAGCUUCACUUUAGGAAAACUACCAAAGAUCUGGAAAAUACAUYGGUGAUUUCUUCUGACAUCUGAAAAAUACCUCAUCCAGCACUGACGUCUGGAGAAGUUAUUUUCAGGCCACAGGUUUGUGGCAACAGCAGUGAAAAAAAGCAAAAUCCCAAAAAACACCAUCUUAACUCCAGGUGUCGCAAUUUCAUAAAUUACACCUAUUUUAAGGACAACACCUGCUUUCUCUGUUUUGUCAGAAAUGCAAGAAACAAAAAGCACUGACCUCCCUCUCUCUAGUUGGGAUUUUGUACCCUGUGCCAUCUGCAGUCGUGAUCAGAAAAGACCAUAAUCAAAGACAGAUAUUUAAAAGAAACAACUACCUGUACUGCCGUGCAAUCCCUGUGGUUCUUUUGUAGCUUAAAUAUUACAAUUURUCUGCAAAGGUGUUUGAAAACGAAGGCUCUGACUCACAGAUCAACAUGUAAAAUUGACAUGUUUUUGGAGUUGGCUGGAAAAAAAAMCCCCAUGUAAACACAAACAUAAACCAGUGUUAAAGACAGCAAUGCAAAUCAAUAAGUUUCUUACAGUACUGAGCAGAUUUAAAAGUGAGUUUUCACACUUGGGUGUGUCUUAAUAAAUAACUUUUUUAUUAUGAACAAGCAUUUUUUUCAGCAUUUUCCUCCAAAAAAGAAAAGUGAAAC
Molecule: long non-coding RNA, 943 nt
Organism: Poecilia reticulata (guppy)
Lineage: Eukaryota; Metazoa; Chordata; Actinopteri; Cyprinodontiformes; Poeciliidae
Source: RefSeq, a predicted model, not a curated record